Molecule: ribosomal RNA, 508 nt
Filed under: uncultured bacterium
Lineage: Bacteria
Description: partial 16S ribosomal RNA
Rfam family: Bacterial small subunit ribosomal RNA
Source: RNAcentral
GACGAACGCUGGCGGCGUGCCUAACACAUGCAAGUGGAGCGACGAACCAGGGCUUGCCCUGGGGCAAAGCCGCGAACGGGUGAGUAACACGUGGGUAACCUGCCCCGAUGACCGGGACAACCCGAGGAAACUCGGGCUAAUACAGGAUGUGCUCUUCACACAUCAGUGUGUUGAGUCAGGAAGCUUCGGCCUCCGCUUCGGGAGGGGCCCGCGGCCCAUUCGCUAGUUGGUGAGGUAAAGGCUCACCAAGGCAACGAUGGGUAGCGGGUCUGAGAGGACGAUCAGCCACACUGGGAAUGAGACACGGCCCAGACUCCUACGGGAGGCAGCAGUGGGGAAUCUUGCGCAAUGCGCGAAAGCGUGACGCAGCAACGCCGCGUGGGGGAAGAAGGCCUUCGGGUUGUAAACCCCUUUCAGGAGGGACGAAGGUUCGGCCGCGAAUAGCGGUCCGGACUGACGGUACCUCCAGAAGAAGCCCCGGCUAACUACGUGCCAGCCGCCGCCGUAA